GGGCGGUUAGCUCAGUGGUAGAGCACUACCUUGACAUGGUAGGGGUCACAGGUUCGAACCCUGUACCGCCCA
RNAcentral lists this transfer RNA (72 nucleotides) under Silanimonas sp. It matches the Rfam family "tRNA". From Rfam's summary of the family: Transfer RNA (tRNA) molecules are approximately 80 nucleotides in length. Their secondary structure includes four short double-helical elements and three loops (D, anti-codon, and T loops). Further hydrogen bonds mediate the characteristic L-shaped molecular structure. tRNAs have two regions of fundamental functional importance: the anti-codon, which is responsible for specific mRNA codon recognition, and the 3' end, to which the tRNAs corresponding amino acid is attached (by aminoacyl-tRNA synthetases). tRNAs cope with the degeneracy of the genetic code in two manners: having more than one tRNA (with a specific anti-codon) for a particular amino acid; and 'wobble' base-pairing, i.e. permitting non-standard base-pairing at the 3rd anti-codon position. The record is from Rfam by way of RNAcentral. Lineage: Bacteria; Pseudomonadati; Pseudomonadota; Gammaproteobacteria; Lysobacterales; Lysobacteraceae.